RNAcentral lists this non-coding RNA (134 nucleotides) under Jeotgalibaca dankookensis. RNAcentral describes it as "FMN sequence". It matches the Rfam family "FMN riboswitch aptamer (RFN element)". From Rfam's summary of the family: The RFN element is a highly conserved domain that is found frequently in the 5'-untranslated regions of prokaryotic mRNAs that encode for flavin mononucleotide (FMN) biosynthesis and transport proteins. This element is a metabolite-dependent riboswitch that directly binds FMN in the absence of proteins. The record is from Rfam by way of RNAcentral. Lineage: Bacteria; Bacillati; Bacillota; Bacilli; Lactobacillales; Carnobacteriaceae.
AAACGUCUUCAGGGCAGGGUGAAAUUCCCGACCGGUGGUAAAGUCCACGACCUCAUAUCAAACGCAACGUUGAUAUGGGCUGAACUGGUGAAAUUCCAGUACCGACAGUAAAGUCUGGAUGGAAGAAGAUUAGG